UGGUCCGACCCGAUGAUGUCACUGCUGACAUCAUCCCCUGCACAAACACCAGGCCUCACUGCCUGCCCUCCAGUCUAGCCUCCAGCACACCUGCCGAGCAUGGCAAGCAUCCAACACACAUCAACAUGGGGACAAAGGUGAGUUGUCUCCCACUUUGUCACAAACCUUAAGACCUUUUCUUUUGGAAAUGCAAAAUAGUCACAAUAGACCAAGACUCGUUAGACCAGGAAAACGUCCACCUAGGAAACACAGUCCUGUUGAGCCUGGUUUGAAGAGAUUAGCAGCUAACGGAAUAGAAUAUAGGAAUAGAGUCAAGCAGACGGAGAGCAAUAGCCUUCUACCCUGAAAUCCACUUGAAUAUAAUGUAAGACACAACCUCACACCAGUAACUGGAGACAGAGGUCACAAUAGACCAUAGAACAACGACAGUCAAACACACUUCAGUAUGUUAGUGAUUUAGCAGAAGAACACACCUAUCAGUAGAAAUUAAAAUGUGUGAUCAUGACUAGUUUGAUUUCUACUUUAUCUGUUUAUUACAUAUUAGUUAUAUUAAAUAAAACAAAUUGAAUAUUAGUAUGUUAGGUUAAUAACUGCAAUAUGAAUUAAACACAAUCGCCUUCCCAUGUUUAUCAAUUAGACCAUAUAAACUGGUGUGUGAUGUCAUGAACGGUGAUGAUUGAAGGUGUGUUGUGAUGAGAGUGUAUUAGCUACAGGAGGAUGAUGAUGUCAUCAGGUGUGAUCAUUGAAUGAGCUGUAGUAUUGAGUGAGUAGGGAUUGGUCAGUGAGGGAUUUCACAUUCGAGUCAGAAAUGUUCAGCGGAAAGGAAUCUCGAGGUGAUCAACCUACAUUUCAAUGUGCAGCCAAUCACAUACAGCUGCAACACAAAGGACACACGUGACGGUGGUACACGUCCAACGACACGUUCAUAACAUGCCUGCUUAUAGGCUUAAGACUGUCCGGCCAAACUACGGCAGAUUCUUUUCUCUUGGUUAACUGAACCUCUAUAUUCCCGCUGUAAUCGUCCUGUGCGUCGGUGAAGUUGAGGUGACACAAUCCGUCCUUACUAAUGAUUUACUAUUAUUUAUCCGAGAAAUAAAAACAGGAUGUUUCACUACCAUGAGUCUUUAAGUCUCAUUCAACUAAAAGAAGGAUUUUAUUUAGAAGGAAUGCUGAAAGGUGAGGUAGGAGUAAUCAAAAAAGGUCAAGAGAUAUCCAGAAUGUCUUCUAUGUUAAUUGUACAAAUACCAGAUAAAAAACAGCUGUUUAGUUUCAAUAACAACAACUAUAUAAUCAACUCAAUCAUUGAAAAGGAGUGCCACUUUUUUCAGAUCAGCAGAAAAAAUAACAUAUUGGCUGGACAUAGAAAAAGCUAAAAUCAGUGCAGUCAAAGUCAAUAAAAAUAGCAUUCAAAGCAGAAUAUACUGUUGGCUCAUCUUUCAUGUGUGAGUUUCUAUGCUGCAAACACCUCCACAAAAGGUAUAAAGGACUUAUACAAACAGGUAAAGUGCCAAGUCCUUGGUGUGGAGAUGCUGCGCCAGGUUCUGAAUGCGACAUAAGCGGACAUUCUGGGCGUCUCCUGCACUGUAAACUCUGAAUACGUGAUAACGCUCCUUCUCUUUCAGUGCAAAGUCCAGCUCGUUAGCAGAGAGGUGGAUGAAGGACUUUUCCUUCUUUAUUGUAGACUUGACUUCCACGUACACAAUCCCCGGCCCUCCUGCCAGUCCAAAGGUCAACUUAAAGUCGUAGGGCUGGCCGCUCUCUCCACUCUGGUUGCACCACACGACGUCUGUGGGUCGUCCAAGGUCUCCACCGUCUCUCCAGUGGCACAGGUAGAAGUUGACCAGCUGCUCCCCCCACUCACCGAUCACUGCCAUGUCCAUCAGGUCGUCUGAUAACUCCACCUGCUCAAGCACAAUACAACUUAGAAGAUCCUGGCAAAGACCGAGCCCGAGGAAACACCCCAUGUGUGGUAUGUACUGACCGUGGUGGGUCUCUGGCAAGUCAGCUCCAUGUCCUCCAGCGUGGGCAGAGGCUGCCCUUUGUUCCAGGGAGGGAAGUCCAGGUUGAUAGGAGGACGCUGGGUUUCUGCACCACCCUUAAACAUACUGGAAACCACCACAGCCUCAGGGGCGCCGCUGAUGACAAAGGAGAGGAAAAGGUAGCAGGUUUGAGAUUAUGUAUCAAUGAGCAGUAGUUUUCUACAUCAAUCUCUUGGAUUUUUGGGGGGGCAAGGAGAAGAAGCUUACAGGUCGUUUGGAGCGGGCUGGUCGAUGGCGGUCUCGGCGGGCUGUGCGGAUGGAGGACCCUGUAUGGCUCCGGGAGCUGGAAGGCAUUUCUGGUCAUUUGGAGCUCUGUCAAACUUGGUGCUGUCACUCUGUUGUCGGAGCUCUGUCAGACACAACAGCGAAAGGGUUGGACGUGGCAUAAACUGGGAUAUUCUGUAUUAUGAGGAAGCCAGAAUGGGCCUCAGUGGGCAGACGUCCUUGUUGUAGAGUAAGAAUUGGCUGAAGAGGAAGCAUGUUUGACCUGGAGAUGGAGGAGUGUUGGUGGUCCCAGGGGCAGGGCGAUGGGGGUCUGUGGGUCUCCUGCUGCCCUCGAGCGGCUGGUUCCCCUCGUAGCUGCUGCUGCUGCUGGGACUCCUGGGGAUGGCAUGGCCAUCCUUAUCUGGGUCUCGGUAUUCGGGCCCAGCUGGAGGUGGCCACAGCUUCAUGACGGCUUCCACCACCGCGCUCCCUGGCUGACCUGUUGGUCCAGAGAUGUUGUGGGGAAUAAGAAACAGGGUUUGCUACGUUGAAGAGUUGUCGUGCAGAAACAAGCGUAUCCUUCUCACUGACCAGUGCGACUGGCUCCCGGACUCAGCAUGGAUGCUCGAGGAGGCCAGCAAACCAAUGUCUGCUCCCCGUCCUCAUGUGCAGGGCGAGCAGGCUCCUCUGGGGAGCUGAUGGAGGAGUAACUCCUUGAUAACCCUGAAGCACAAUGUUUUAAAAGAGUCAAAAACCGAUGGCAGAAGUGAUUUGUAAAGACUGAUUUGUGCCCAAAGCGUCGUAUUGAUCCCUGCAUGUCUGUGAGUGUGCGUGUGUGUACAAAAAUGGGAGAAAGUGCACAAACACGGAUAAAGAACAAGCAGCGCUAGAUUCUGAGUUACAUGCUGACGUUCUGCAUCAAGCUGAUUAUGUAUUAACCAGCUGUACACUGUAACACUAUUAAUGAGGAUGGUCCAGCCCCAAAAAACAGAAUCAAUGUAUUAAAUCAAACAUAUUACUCCGCUGCUGAAAGUUGUUCCUCCCACAUACACUAUUUAAUCAACCAGCUACCGUGCGUAGUUAAAACACUCCAUGUCAUUAGUCGCCCAUUCAUACCUAUUCUGAUUACAAGGGCCACCUGUCCGUCACAAACAACUAACAUUCAUACUCCUCCCCACGCCGCGCGGCCAGCAGGAAUCUGGAGGCUGUGUGACCAGCAGAGCCCCCGUUCCCUUCAUUCUACUGAUGUUGUACAUGUUGUAUUGGGUCCACGAGAGGGAAACACGUGGGAGUUCAGAGGCUCUUUACCUCUCUCCAGGUUCAUCUCUGCUUUGGGGGGCUCUGGGACCUUCCACAGCUCCUCCUCACUUGGCAGCUCUCUGACGUCCUCCUUGGCCAGGAAUCUCAUCAGAGACUCGUGGUCCUGCACAGAUGAUCGGCUUAUUAGGGCCUGCUGAUCUGUAUGAACGUUUGCUUCUUGUUAUUAUUAUUCGGAUAAUUGAUUUGCCUUUUGGGGGCCUUCAUAUCAUAACCCCAAACCGCCCAAAUCGGACUAAAAAUGGGAUGUUUUGUCAAGUAUGACCCAAGUGGGAAAGGCAAGCCCCCUCAGCCUGUAUGUCCUAUUGACACUUGACAUUUUACAGACAAAUGUAACUUCUGUCCUGAACCCUGAGCUCCAGCUCCUUUUAAAUCUUAUGAAAAAAGCAUUUUUGCAACCUCCUCUUAUACAUUGUGCCUGAAAAUUGCCAAACAU
Molecule: long non-coding RNA, 3996 nt
Organism: Gasterosteus aculeatus aculeatus (three-spined stickleback)
Lineage: Eukaryota; Metazoa; Chordata; Actinopteri; Perciformes; Gasterosteidae
Source: Ensembl